UGGGGAAUAUUGGACAAUGGGGGCAACCCUGAUCCAGCGAUGCCGCGUGUGUGAAGAAGGCCUGCGGGUUGUAAAGCACUUUCAGUGGUGAGGAAAGGUUUUUGUUUAAGAGAUGAGAACUGUGACGUUAACCACAGAAGAAGCACCGGCUAACUCUGUGCCAGCAGCCGCGGUAAUACAGAGGGUGCAAGCGUUAAUCGGACUUACUGGGCGUAAAGGGUGCGUAGGUGGAAAUUUAAGUUGAGUGUGAAAUAUCCGGGCUUAACCUGGAGCGUGCAUUCAAAACUGAGUUUCUAGAGUAUGGUAGAGGGAAGUGGAAUUUCCGGUGUAGCGGUGAAAUGCGUAGAUAUCGGAAGGAACACCAGUGGCGAAGGCGACUUCCUGGCCCAAUACUGACACU
Molecule: ribosomal RNA, 400 nt
Filed under: uncultured bacterium
Lineage: Bacteria
Description: bacterial SSU rRNA
Rfam family: Bacterial small subunit ribosomal RNA
Source: RNAcentral